Triticum aestivum (bread wheat) is the source of this 1852-nucleotide long non-coding RNA. RefSeq lists it as uncharacterized. The transcript is spliced from 5 exons. NCBI's taxonomy places the organism in Eukaryota, Viridiplantae, Streptophyta, Magnoliopsida, Poales, Poaceae. The record is from RefSeq and is a predicted model, not a curated record.
CCUGUGCGCCUCAGGCACUACACCCCAUUCGUCACCACCCCACCAAACGCCACAGUGGCUCCUCCACAACCGCCCGCAACCCUUUCCCCUUUUCCCCAGCUCCUCCUCCAUCCUCUUGUGCCCCCUCCCACAUCUCAUCCACCCCCUCAUCUCUGACCGGAUCCGUGACAUGCGGGACGGAGGCGAGCUUCUCCGGCGUCGGUGACCUGCAGGCGAAGGGCGAGGGCGUCGACGCUUGAUUUGAGGCAGCGUCAUGGAUCGGUCCCUGCUAAGCCACGAGAUUGCUGGACUGCCACCAUCCCUCCUGCACUGUGCGUUGCCUCCUGCGAGUGCCACCUCGCCCCACUAGCUUCCAACGCCAUGGAUCCGCCGGAGAUGGAGGGCAACCCACCUCGCCCCACUAGCUUCCAACGCCAUGGAUCCGCCGGAGAUGGAGGGCAACAAGUGAGGGAGUAGGAGAACAGGUGAAUCGAGGGAGUGAAAGAAGGAGCUCACACGGGAAGGGGAAGAGGGAGUCUGGCGGCGUAUCCACAUCUCAUCCCCGGCUGUAGAUCUUUUGACGCCAUGGCACCAGUGGUGGCUCCUUGAUGGAGCGCCUCCUCCCAUGACGGCACGACCAGCCGCUCUUGCUCGACGCCACGAUACACAACGAGGUCGAUGGCUUCCACGGAGCAGAGGCCCUCUUCAUCUCGGCAGAGGAGCAGAACGGCCAGGAGCUGGUGGCCUGCUGCCCUAUGCCAAUGGAUGCGCCUCCCAGAUGGCUAGCAAUGCCAGAUCCGGCUAGAAAGGGCUCUAUGGUAGGUUUGGUUUGUUCACCACCCCAUGAAGUAUUGUUCUUUCUGUAAUUUAUUUAUGUAGAUUUAACCUCAGACCUCACAGAGGUAGUCAUCUUAGAUUACUUUGAAGUAUUGUUAUUGGUCACAUGUUUAUUACUCCCUCCAUUCCUAAAUAUUUGUCUUUUUUAGAGAUUUUAAAUGGAGUACCACAUACGGAUGUAUAUAGACAUAUUUUAGAGUGUAGAUUCACUCAUUUUGCUCUGUAUGUAGUCACUUGUUGAAAUCUCUAGAAAGACAAAUAUUUAGGAACGGAGGGAGUAGGUUUAAAUGCCACUAUUCUACAUGGGUUGUUACUAACACAAAUUGAUGUUGUGAUUAGGCACCAAUCCUAUUAUUGAAGCUAUUAUGGUAUAUGUUGCUGCUACAUAAAUAUACUUUUAUGUGAUCAUGAAAUUGCAUUCAGUUUUAGUAUUCUCUGGUGCUGGAAGAGCUAACAUGUAUCAAGCCAGGAGUACAAUUCCUUUUUGUAAAUCUGGCUAAUGCUGACAAUGGACAUGCUUUGAUGUUUUUCUUUUCUCAUGUCGUUAGGCAGAUUGAGAAGCUGAUCCGAGCGAAGCAAUGAUGUUUGGUGUUCUUCUGCUGGAGCUGAUCACCAGGAGAAGAAUCUAUGAUGCUUCGAGGCCUAAACCAGAGCAGAGCUUGCUAACAUGGCAAACUACUAUGGAUGCUGAUCCAUCACAAUAUUGACCAUUAACUUUGUGCUCAUCUCCGAGGUUAUUUUGCGUAUAGCCAUUUGCUUCUCUGGCAUUUCCUUGAAGCUGCCAUUGCAAGAGGAAACAGAAGGAUAUCUUCGUGAUCAGCACAUUGGUGUCUAAGGCUACUUGCUGUGUCACUGCGCCCGGCAAGUGCAUGAAUAAACAUGGAUAGAUCAAUACAGAUAGGUUAAUUACCGACUAUCAUAGCUAAAAGUUCUGAAAAAUCAUUUGAAGUGAUGUUCUUUUGGUUUUCCGUUCAAAUAUCAUCGAUCCUUGUGCCUGCUGAAUCUCUAAUUUAACACAUGUUGGCAGUCUGACAAA